GUUGUCCAGACGACUGUAAAAGUUGUCUGGACGACUAGUUGGCCCUGGACGACUUAAACGUAAGUUGUCUGGACGACUAGUUGACCACAGAAGACUUAAUUUUAAGUCGUCCAGGGUCAACUAGUCGUCCAGACGAUUUAUAUUUAAGUCGUCCAGGGUCAACUAGUCAUCCAGACAACUUUUAUUUAAGUCGUCCAGGGUUA
This 203-nucleotide long non-coding RNA is filed under the name Brassica napus (rape). RNAcentral's name for it is "long non-coding RNA (BNAP_LNC026872)". The record is from RNAcentral. Lineage: Eukaryota; Viridiplantae; Streptophyta; Magnoliopsida; Brassicales; Brassicaceae.